This 72-nucleotide transfer RNA is filed under the name Planctomycetaceae bacterium. RNAcentral describes it as "tRNA-Glu". It matches the Rfam family "tRNA". Rfam says of the family: Transfer RNA (tRNA) molecules are approximately 80 nucleotides in length. Their secondary structure includes four short double-helical elements and three loops (D, anti-codon, and T loops). Lineage: Bacteria; Pseudomonadati; Planctomycetota; Planctomycetia; Planctomycetales; Planctomycetaceae. The record is from RNAcentral.
GGCUCGUUCGUCUAACGGACAGGAUACGAGACCCUCAAUCUCGAGAUAUGGGUUCGACUCCCAUACGGGCUG